RNAcentral lists this ribosomal RNA (444 nucleotides) under uncultured cyanobacterium. Its description in RNAcentral is "bacterial SSU rRNA". It matches the Rfam family "Bacterial small subunit ribosomal RNA", at positions 1071 to 1533 of the family's 1533-position model. Lineage: Bacteria; Bacillati; Cyanobacteriota. The record is from RNAcentral.
GAUGUUGGGUUAAGUCCCGCAACGAGCGCAACCCGCGUCCUUAGUUGCCAGCAUUCAGUUGGGCACUCUGGGGAGACUGCCGGUGACAAGCCGGAGGAAGGUGCGGAUGACGUCAAGUCAGCAUGCCCCUUAUGCUCUGGGCUACACACGUGCUACAAUGGCGCGGACAAAGGGCAGCGAACGCGCGAGCGGGAGCCAAUCCCAAAAACCGCGUCUCAGUUCAGAUCGCAGGCUGCAACUCGCCUGCGUGAAGGCGGAAUCGCUAGUAAUCGCAGAUCAGCAUGCUGCGGUGAAUACGUUCCCGGGCCUUGUACACACCGCCCGUCACACCAUGGGAGCUGGCCAUGCCCGAAGUCGGAGCACCCGCCGAAGGCAGGGCUGGUGACUGGGGUGAAGUCGUAACAAGGUAGCCGUACCGGAAGGUGCGGCUGGAUCACCUCCUUU